AGCAACGUGGCGCAGAGGGAGCGUGUCGGGCCCAUAACCCGAAGGACGUAGGAUCGAAACCUACCGUUGCUA
Molecule: transfer RNA, 72 nt
Filed under: Porticoccaceae bacterium
Lineage: Bacteria; Pseudomonadati; Pseudomonadota; Gammaproteobacteria; Cellvibrionales; Porticoccaceae
Description: tRNA-Met
Rfam family: tRNA
About the family: Transfer RNA (tRNA) molecules are approximately 80 nucleotides in length. Their secondary structure includes four short double-helical elements and three loops (D, anti-codon, and T loops).
Source: RNAcentral